CAGUAGCCGCGGGAAUACGUAGGUGGCGAGCGUUGUCCGGAAUUAUUGGGCGUAAAGGGAGCGCAGGCGGACAUAUAAGUCCAUCCUAAAAGUGCGGGGCUCAACCCCGUGAGGGGAUGGAAACUGUAUGCCUUGAGUGCAGGAGGGGAAAGCGGAAUUCCCAGUGUAGCGGUGAAAUGCGUAGAUAUUGGGAGGAACACCAGUGGCGAAGGCGGCUUUCUGGACUGCAACUGACACUGAGGCUCGAAAGCCAGGGGAGCGAACGGGAUUAGAGACCCCAGUAGUCCCUGUCUCUUAUACA
RNAcentral lists this ribosomal RNA (301 nucleotides) under uncultured bacterium. Its description in RNAcentral is "partial 16S ribosomal RNA". It matches the Rfam family "Bacterial small subunit ribosomal RNA", at positions 509 to 809 of the family's 1533-position model. The record is from RNAcentral.